RNAcentral lists this ribosomal RNA (460 nucleotides) under uncultured bacterium. RNAcentral's name for it is "partial 16S ribosomal RNA". It matches the Rfam family "Bacterial small subunit ribosomal RNA", at positions 338 to 795 of the family's 1533-position model. The record is from RNAcentral.
CCUACGGGUGGCAGCAGUGAGGAAUAUUGGUCAAUGGACGAGAGUCUGAACCAGCCAAGUAGCGUGAAGGAUGACUGCCCUAUGGGUUGUAAACUUCUUUUAUAUGGGAAUAAAAUGUUCCACGUGUGGGAUUUUGUAUGUACCAUAUGAAUAAGGAUCGGCUAACUCCGUGCCAGCAGCCGCGGUAAUACGGAGGAUCCGAGCGUUAUCCGGAUUUAUUGGGUUUAAAGGGAGCGUAGGUGGAUUGUUAAGUCAGUUGUGAAAGUUUGCGGCUCAACCGUAAAAUUGCAGUUGAAACUGGCAGUCGUGAGUACAGUAGAGGAGGGCGGAACUCGGGGGGUAGCGGUGAAAUGCUUAGAUAUCACGAAGAACUCCGAUUGCGAAGGCAGUUCAAUGGACUGCAAUGGACACUGAGGCUCGAAAGUGUGGGUAUCAAACAGGAGUAGAUACCCCUGUAGUC